This 978-nucleotide ribosomal RNA is filed under the name Cortinarius paraxanthus. RNAcentral's name for it is "eukaryotic LSU rRNA". It matches the Rfam family "Eukaryotic large subunit ribosomal RNA", at positions 1 to 964 of the family's 3401-position model. The record is from RNAcentral. Lineage: Eukaryota; Fungi; Basidiomycota; Agaricomycetes; Agaricales; Cortinariaceae.
GUGACCUCAAAUCAGGUAGGACUACCCGCUGAACUUAAGCAUAUCAAUAAGCGGAGGAAAAGAAACUAACAAGGAUUCCCCUAGUAACUGCGAGUGAAGCGGGAAAAGCUCAAAUUUAAAAUCUGGCAGUCUUUGGCUGUCCGAGUUGUAAUCUAGAGAAGUGUUAUCCACGCUGGACCGUGUACAAGUCUCCUGGAAUGGAGCGUCAUAGAGGGUGAGAAUCCCGUCUUUGACACGGACUGCCAGGGUUUUGUGAUGCGCUCUCAAAGAGUCGAGUUGUUUGGGAAUGCAGCUCAAAAUGGGUGGUAAAUUCCAUCUAAAGCUAAAUAUUGGCGAGAGACCGAUAGCGAACAAGUACCGUGAGGGAAAGAUGAAAAGAACUUUGGAAAGAGAGUUAAACAGUACGUGAAAUUGCUGAAAGGGAAACGCUUGAAGUCAGUCGCGUUGUCCAGGGAUCAACCUUGCUUUUGCUUGGUGCACUUUCUGGUUAACGGGUCAGCAUCAAUUUUGAUCAUUGGAAAAAAGUUGGGGGAAUGUGGCAUCUUCGGAUGUGUUAUAGCCCUUGGUUGUAUACAAUGGUUGGGAUUGAGGAACUCAGCACGCCGCAAGGCCGGGUUUUUAACCACGUACGUGCUUAGGAUGCUGGCAUAAUGGCUUUAAUCGACCCGUCUUGAAACACGGACCAAGGAGUCUAACAUACCUGCGAGUGUUUGGGUGGUAAACCCGAGCGCGUAAUGAAAGUGAAAGUUGAGAUCCCUGUCGCGGGGAGCAUCGACGCCCGGACCAGACCUUUUGUGACGGUUCUGCGGUAGAGCAUGUAUGUUGGGACCCGAAAGAUGGUGAACUAUGCCUGAAUAGGGUGAAGCCAGAGGAAACUCUGGUGGAGGCUCGUAGCGAUUCUGACGUGCAAAUCGAUCGUCAAAUUUGGGUAUAGGGGCGAAAGACUAAUCGAACCAUCUAGUAGCUGGUUCCUGCCGA